AUGGCGGGAGCGGCCGGGAGGGAGAGGGACCCGCUCCUCCGCUCCGAGAUCCACGGCUUCAUCACCUACGCAGACUUGAAUUUCGAGAAGCUGAAAGCAGAGGCCGCGUCGCGCUGGUUCCGGCCGAAUGAGAUCUACGCGGUCCUGGCCAACCACGAGAGGUUCAAGGUCCAUGCACAGCCCAUCGACAAGCCCGUGAGUGGUACUAUUGUUCUAUAUGAUCGCAAAGUUGUCCGGAACUUCCGGAAGGAUGGCCAUAAUUGGAAGAAAAAGAAGGAUGGCAAAACUGUCCAAGAAGCCCAUGAAAAAUUAAAGAUUGGUAAUGAAGAGAGGGUUCAUGUCUAUUAUGCUCGAGGUGAGGAUAAUCCAAAUUUCUUUAGAAGGUGCUACUGGCUGCUUGACAAAGAGGCUGAACGGAUUGUUCUUGUGCAUUAUCGUCAAACAUCUGAGGAAAAUGCCAUAGCACAUCCGAGCACAGAAGCCGAAGCCGAAGCGCCUACAAUGAAUGUGAUUCAAUAUUAUACUUCUCCGAUUUCAGCAAAUUCAGCCUCAGUUCAUACCGAGAUAUCGUUCUCCCCUCCGGCACCAGAGGAAAUUAACUCACAUGGUGGCAGUGCAAUUUCUAGUGAUACUGGUGGCUCUAGUCUGGAAGAGUUCUGGGUUCAUCUAUUGGAGUCAUCUAUGACAAAGGAUACUGCUUGUGGCGCAUCCGUGGCAUUUAGUCAGCAGAUUAAAUGCGGAACAAAGGAUUCUGGAAAUGACACGGACUCUACAAAUAAUGUACAUGUGAACCACGCCGGAGCUCUGGAACAUCAAGUAGACCAAUCUCAAUACCCUUUAACAUCAGAUCUCGAUUCUCAGUCACAUCAAUUUGCAACUUCUUUGCGGAAAACUCCAGUGGAUGGUGACAUUCCUAAUGAUGUGCCUGCUAGAGAGAACAGUCUUGGACUGUGGAAGUACUUGGAUGAUGACAGUCCUUGUCUAGGGGAUAAUAUAGUGAGCAAUGGAAAAAUCUUCAACAUCACUGAUUUCUCCCCAGAAUGGGCUUGUUCCACAGAGCAUACCAAGAUCUUGGUGAUCGGGGAUUACUAUGAGCAAUACAAGCAUCUGGCUGGUUCCAAUAUUUACGGUAUCUUUGGUGAUAACUGUGUUGCCGCAAACAUGGUCCAAACUGGUGUUUACCGUUUCAUGGUUGGACCACAUACAGCUGGACGAGUGGAUUUUUAUUUGACUUUGGAUGGGAAAACACCAAUCUCUGAGGUUUUGAAUUUUGAGUAUCGUAGUGUGCCUGGAAGUUCAUUGCAUAGUGAGUUAAAGCCGCUGGAAGAUGAGUACACAAAGUCAAAGCUUCAAAUGCAGAUGAGACUAGCUCGUUUGCUGUUUGUGACAAACAAGAAAAAGAUAGCACCAAAGCUUCUUGUGGAAGGCAGCAAAGUUUCUAAUCUCAUAUUGGCAUCACCAGAGAAGGAAUGGAUGGAUCUAUGGAAAAUUGCUGGCGAUUCUGAAGGCACAUCUGUUCAUGCUACUGAAGACUUGCUUGAAUUAGUUUUACGGAAUAGAUUGCAAGAAUGGCUUCUCGAAAGAGUAAUUGGAGGCCAUAAAUCAACCGGCCGUGAUGAUCUAGGACAAGGACCUAUCCAUCUGUGUUCUUUCCUAGGCUAUACUUGGGCUAUCCGCUUGUUUUCUGUGUCCGGAUUCUCCUUGGAUUUCCGUGAUUCUUCUGGUUGGACUGCUUUACACUGGGCUGCAUACCACGGAAGGGAAAAAAUGGUUGCUGCUCUGUUAUCUGCUGGAGCAAAUCCAAGCUUGGUUACGGAUCCUACUGCAGUGUCCCCUGGUGGAUGCACUCCUGCUGAUCUGGCAGCAAGACAAGGUUAUGUGGGCUUAGCUGCAUAUCUUGCUGAGAAAGGAUUGACUGCACAUUUUGAAUCAAUGUCACUGUCCAAGGGUACUAAGCAAUCACCAUCAAGGACGAAACUAACAAAAGUACACAGCGAGAAGUUUGAGAACCUUACUGAACAAGAACUUUGCUUAAAAGAAUCCUUAGCGGCCUAUCGAAAUGCUGCUGACGCUGCCAGUAAUAUCCAAGCUGCACUUCGCGAUAGAACUCUUAAACUCCAAACAAAAGCAAUUCUUUUGGCCAAUCCUGAGAUGCAAGCAACUGCGAUAGUUGCUGCUAUGAGGAUUCAGCAUGCAUUCCGGAACUACAACAGAAAAAAAGAGAUGAGAGCUGCUGCACGAAUACAAAAUCAUUUCCGCACGUGGAAGGUCAGAAGGAACUUUAAGAACAUGCGAAGACAAGCUAUCAGAAUACAAGCUGCAUACCGAGGCCAUCAAGUGAGACGUCAGUACCGCAAGGUAAUAUGGUCUGUUGGAGUCGUGGAGAAAGCUAUUUUGCGAUGGAGAAAGAAGAGAAAAGGCUUGCGCGGCAUUGCAAAUGGAAUGCCAGCAGAAAUGACAGUGGAUGUAGAAGCUGCAAGCACUGCAGAAGAAGGUUUCUUCCAGGCCAGCCGGCAACAAGCGGAGGACAGGUUUAAUAGAUCAGUGGUACGUGUUCAGGCUCUGUUUCGUUGUCAUCGGGCACAGCAUGAGUACCGGAGGAUGAGGAUUGCUCAUGAGGAGGCCAAGCUGGAGUUCAGUAAAGGGCAGCAGCAGGCGCCGGCAUGCAGGAGGACCAUCUUAUUGAUCCUUUUGGCCGAAUCUGGUGUAUGUAUUUGCUGCUAG
RNAcentral lists this ribosomal RNA (2724 nucleotides) under Triticum aestivum (bread wheat). RNAcentral describes it as "partial small subunit ribosomal RNA". The record is from RNAcentral. Lineage: Eukaryota; Viridiplantae; Streptophyta; Magnoliopsida; Poales; Poaceae.